Lineus longissimus is the source of this 73-nucleotide non-coding RNA. The record is from the annotation of a RefSeq genome assembly. Lineage: Eukaryota; Metazoa; Nemertea; Pilidiophora; Heteronemertea; Lineidae.
GGCCUCGUGGCCUAAUGGACACGGCGUCUGACUUCGGAUCAGAAGAUUGCAGGUUCGAGUCCUGCCGGGGUCG